UCAAUGGCGACGACACCAGCAGAAACCCAACGAGUCUUGAAUUCUCAGUUUUUUUUGUAGGUUUAGAUGGUAUGGAAUGAUGUGAAUUUGUUCUGGAAUGCAAGUUUUAAAGAAUGCUUGGACUUCUUGCAUUGUAUUUUGUGGCAUGAAGCUUGGGUUGAAUUCAUGUUUAAUUGGCUUAAUGUUGAUGAAAUAGGUGAUGCUCAAGGCUGCUGGUUUUGUAAGUUUGUACCCAGUUGAAAGCAU
Molecule: non-coding RNA, 246 nt
Organism: Vicia faba (fava bean)
Lineage: Eukaryota; Viridiplantae; Streptophyta; Magnoliopsida; Fabales; Fabaceae
Source: the annotation of a GenBank genome assembly